CCUACGGGAGGCAGCAGUGAGGAAUAUUGGUCAAUGGACGAGAGUCUGAACCAGCCAAGUAGCGUGAAGGAUGACUGCCCUAUGGGUUGUAAACUUCUUUUAUAUGGGAAUAAAAUGUUCCACGUGUGGGAUUUUGUAUGUACCAUAUGAAUAAGGAUCGGCUAACUCCGUGCCAGCAGCCGCGGUAAUACGGAGGAUCCGAGCGUUAUCCGGAUUUAUUGGGUUUAAAGGGAGCGUAGGUGGAUUGUUAAGUCGGUUGUGAAAGUUUGGGGCUCAACCGUGAAAUUGCAGUUGAAACUGGCAGGCUUGAGUACAGGAGAGGUAGGCGGAAUUCGUGGUGUAGCGGUGAAAUGCUUAGAUAUCACGAAGAACUCCGAUUGCGAAGGCAGCUCACUGGACUGCAACUGACGCUGAGGCUCGAAAGUGUGGGUAUCAAACAGGAUUAGAUACCCGAGUAGUC
RNAcentral lists this ribosomal RNA (460 nucleotides) under uncultured bacterium. RNAcentral's name for it is "partial 16S ribosomal RNA". It matches the Rfam family "Bacterial small subunit ribosomal RNA", at positions 338 to 795 of the family's 1533-position model. The record is from RNAcentral.